Molecule: small nucleolar RNA, 81 nt
Organism: Plasmodium relictum
Lineage: Eukaryota; Apicomplexa; Aconoidasida; Haemosporida; Plasmodiidae
Source: RefSeq, a predicted model, not a curated record
AAUGAUGAUAAAAAAAAAAAAAAAAUUGCACAUUUGUUAGAACAGAACCAAAGAUGUGUUGAAUCUUUAUUAUCUGAAAUA